RNAcentral lists this ribosomal RNA (498 nucleotides) under uncultured bacterium. RNAcentral's name for it is "bacterial SSU rRNA". It matches the Rfam family "Bacterial small subunit ribosomal RNA", at positions 28 to 517 of the family's 1533-position model. The record is from RNAcentral.
GAUGAACGCUAGCUACAGGCUUAACACAUGCAAGUCGAGGGGCAGCGGGAUUGAAGCUUGCUUCAAUUGCCGGCGACCGGCGCACGGGUGAGUAACGCGUAUCCAACCUUCCGUACACUCAGGGAUAGCCUUUCGAAAGAAAGAUUAAUACCUGAUGGUAUGAUGAGAUUGCAUGAUAGCAUCAUUAAAGAUUUAUCGGUGUACGAUGGGGAUGCGUUCCAUUAGGUAGUAGGCGGGGUAACGGCCCACCUAGCCGACGAUGGAUAGGGGUUCUGAGAGGAAGGUCCCCCACAUUGGAACUGAGACACGGUCCAAACUCCUACGGGAGGCAGCAGUGAGGAAUAUUGGUCAAUGGACGAGAGUCUGAACCAGCCAAGUAGCGUGAAGGAUGAAGGUCCUACGGAUUGUAAACUUCUUUAUAAGGGAAUAAACCCUCCACGUGUGGGAGCUUGUAUGUACCUUANGAAUAAGCAUCGGCUAACUCCGUGCCAGCAGCCG